This 72-nucleotide transfer RNA is filed under the name Simkaniaceae bacterium. RNAcentral's name for it is "tRNA-Gln". It matches the Rfam family "tRNA". Rfam says of the family: Transfer RNA (tRNA) molecules are approximately 80 nucleotides in length. Their secondary structure includes four short double-helical elements and three loops (D, anti-codon, and T loops). Lineage: Bacteria; Pseudomonadati; Chlamydiota; Chlamydiia; Parachlamydiales; Simkaniaceae. The record is from RNAcentral.
UGGGGUGUAGCCAAGUGGUAAGGCAGCGGUUUUUGGUACCGCCAUUCGGGGGUUCGAUCCCUCCCACCCCAA